Molecule: microRNA precursor, 80 nt
Filed under: Mus caroli (Ryukyu mouse)
Lineage: Eukaryota; Metazoa; Chordata; Mammalia; Rodentia; Muridae
Description: miRNA (MGP_CAROLIEiJ_G0007661.1)
Source: RNAcentral
UGUGUGUAUAGUUGUGUGUGCAUGUGCAUGUGUGUAUAUGGAUAUACAUAUACAUACACACACACGUAUAAACGCAAGCA